UCGGGGAUCGUCUAAUGGCAGGACAUCUGACUCUGACUCAGAGAAUCUAGGUUCGAGUCCUAGUCCCCGAG
This 71-nucleotide transfer RNA is filed under the name bacterium. RNAcentral describes it as "tRNA-Gln". It matches the Rfam family "tRNA". From Rfam's summary of the family: Transfer RNA (tRNA) molecules are approximately 80 nucleotides in length. Their secondary structure includes four short double-helical elements and three loops (D, anti-codon, and T loops). The record is from RNAcentral.